Molecule: ribosomal RNA, 647 nt
Filed under: Triticum aestivum (bread wheat)
Lineage: Eukaryota; Viridiplantae; Streptophyta; Magnoliopsida; Poales; Poaceae
Description: partial small subunit ribosomal RNA
Source: RNAcentral
GAGUCUGGCUUUAGGGGUUUAGCUGGAUCGGAGGAGGGCGUGUGAGGCGACGGCGGCGGGUGGGAGGCGCCGACGGCUGGCGGGAGGCGGUGUGGGGUCACGGUCGAAGGAAGGGCUGGUGCGGCGGUUGAUGGCAGGCGGUGUGGGUGACGGUGAGGGAGGGCCUGGUAAGGCGGCUCGCGGGAGGCGGCGGGGCUGGUGGUAACCGGCCUGGAGGUCGUUGCGGGUUCAUCGGUUCGGAGGAGGUGCGCGAGAGGCGGUCCGAGCUCAACGAGUUCGCAAAGUCGCCUUCCUAGACAAGCCCACUACUACUGGUGUUCCUACCGAAGAUUGAAGGUGGUCUAAAGCGUACUGGUGCUCCAUUAGGUCAAUCCAAACCAAACCUAAACCGACAGAAUGAGCCACAGCGGCGGCGGCUCGACGCAGGGCUACGGCUGCAGCGACGACGACCUGCGGUCGCGGCCCGCCUUCUUCUACGGCUGGGGCACGCGGCACGUCCACCGACCGCCCCCCGCACCUCCAGCCGCGGUGGUUUUGUUCAACCAGGAGAGCUAGAUCGUCUCGUAUCGUCUAGGGACUGCUCGACCAGGAGAAGCGGAACCAGACAAGAAGUAGGAUCUGGCUCGCCUCAUACGAAGUAGGACGUC